CGAAGAGCAAGCAAAUAACGGAAUGUUGAUGUUAGUCUCAGAACGAUCUUCAAAGAAGAAGAAUGGUCUAAAAGAAUGGAAAUUGGGUAUUUCUAUACCAGGUGUUUCCAUGGUGAGAAGGUAUGUUAUUCGAGGUUCUGAGAAUACCAACAUGAGUAAGGAAAAUGUGAUCCCUCUUCCACAUUGUAGCAAUGUUGUUCCUUAAAGACUUCAAAGCCUGUUGGAUGAGAUUAAAGAGCGACAAAGACUUUAGUUAUUAAGUCUUACAUUCAUCAGACGCAAGAGAGACAGAGAAGUUAAGACCUAGCUAAAUAAGACAGAAGUACCUCUUCUGUUCUCUCGUGGCUU
Molecule: long non-coding RNA, 348 nt
Filed under: Arabidopsis thaliana (thale cress)
Lineage: Eukaryota; Viridiplantae; Streptophyta; Magnoliopsida; Brassicales; Brassicaceae
Description: potential natural antisense gene, locus overlaps with AT5G53050 (AT5G53048)
Source: RNAcentral